AAGGAUCCCCUAGUAACGGCGAGUGAAGCGGGAAGAGCUCAAAUUUGAAAGCUGGCGCCUUCGGCGUCCGCGUUGUAAUCUCGAGAAGUGUUUUCCGUGCUGGACCAUGUACAAGUUCCUUGGAAUAGGACGUCAUAGAGGGUGAAAAUCCCGUACUUGAUGUGGCCGCCCAGUGCUUUGUGAUACACUUUCCAUGAGUCGAGUUGUUUGGGAAUGCAGCUCAAAAUGGGUGGUAAAUUCCAUCUAAAGCUAAAUAUUGGGGAGAGACCGAUAGCGAACAAGUACCGUGAGGGAAAGAUGAAAAGCACUUUGGAAAGAGAGUUAAAUAGUACGUGAAAUUGUCGAAAGGGAAGCGCUUGAAGUUAGACAUGCUAGUUGGAAUUCAGCCUUGCUUUUGCUUGGUGCAUUUUCCGGUUAGCAGGCCAGCAUCAGUUUUGCCUGUCGGAUAAGGGUAGGAGGAAUGUGGCCCCUCGGGGUGUUAUAGCCUCUUACUGGAUACGACGGGUGGGACUGAGGACAGCAGUGCGCCUUUAUGGCGGGCCUUCGGGCACCUUCGCACUUAGGAUGCC
This 569-nucleotide ribosomal RNA is filed under the name Jaminaea angkorensis. Its description in RNAcentral is "LSU rRNA". It matches the Rfam family "Eukaryotic large subunit ribosomal RNA", at positions 70 to 627 of the family's 3401-position model. Lineage: Eukaryota; Fungi; Basidiomycota; Exobasidiomycetes; Microstromatales. The record is from RNAcentral.